This 362-nucleotide ribosomal RNA is filed under the name uncultured bacterium. RNAcentral describes it as "bacterial SSU rRNA". It matches the Rfam family "Bacterial small subunit ribosomal RNA", at positions 30 to 396 of the family's 1533-position model. The record is from RNAcentral.
AUUGAACGCUGGCGGAAUGCUUUACACAUGCAAGUCGAACGGUAGAGGGGGCAACCCCUUGAGAGUGGCGAACGGGUGAGUAAUAUAUCGGAACGUGCCCAGUCGUGGGGAUAACGUAGCGAAAGUUACGCUAAUACCGCAUACGAUCUACGGAUGAAAGCGGGGGACUCGCAAGAGCCUCGCGCGAUUGGAGCGGCCGAUAUCAGAUUAGGUAGUUGGUGGGGUAAAGGCUCACCAAGCCGACGAUCUGUAGCUGGUCUGAGAGGACGACCAGCCACACUGGGACUGAGACACGGUCCAGACUCCUACGGAGGCAGCAGUGGGGAAUAUUGGACAAUGGCGAAAGACCUGAUCCAGCCAUG